Molecule: long non-coding RNA, 599 nt
Filed under: Bos taurus (domestic cattle)
Lineage: Eukaryota; Metazoa; Chordata; Mammalia; Artiodactyla; Bovidae
Description: long non-coding RNA NONBTAT010582
Source: RNAcentral
GUCAUUAGCUUGCUUCAUAGAAGUUGGUGCAAGGAUUUGGUAGCCUACCCACUGGCACCAGUAUCAGACUGAAGACAAUGCAAACUGACUACUUUUUGAAGCCUGUAGACUUGGUUUGUAAAAGAGGCGGUUACAUGCUUGGCACCAAGCAAUGGAACAGAAAACAGACCAAGAUACCAGCUUGAAUCCAGGCACGUGCACUGUGGGGCAGGAGCAGGGCCCUACCACCGUCGCCACGGUGUUCCCACCUAAUACUCGGGUGAGCCACCAGAGAAUUUUACACUGUGUAAAGCUCCUAGCAUAUAGUUAGGCACUAAUGAAUGGCAGGCAGUAAGGCACCUCGAAGCAGAUGUAAAAACUAACUCACAUUGGGAUGAUGGGUAAAAGCAGCCUUGUGCUGUGUUACAGAUGCACAGGCUGGUCUGUGCCUUCUGCACUGGUUCUCUCCAGUCCUGGACAGCUGCUUGCUGUCCAGUGAGCAGCAAACCUCACAAGCUCUUGGAUCAUCUGUGAAACAUCGUUAGACUUAUACUGUUUGCAAAAGCAGAAUUCAGACACAUUGAAAUAAAGCUGUCAUGUCAAAGCCUCACCUCACCGGA